AGCUGACUGUAUGGGUACUGCUGACAACUGUCACCUGGAAGAAGCCAAGAAUGGAAUGGAGACUCUCCGCAGUUCCUCCACAGCCCCCGUGCUCCGUACACUGCUGCGUGUACGUAUGUGCGCGAGAGAUACAGAGGCAGACAGAGAGAGAGAGAGACACGGAGAGUGUGCGUGGGGGGAAUCUAUGUGAUUGAAGACAAUAGCUUAAAAGUUCUUCUGAGUGACCUGUGAUUACAUGAAAUCACCAAUAAAGGAACAGAAACACAGCAGCUCAGGAGCGACCCC
RNAcentral lists this long non-coding RNA (285 nucleotides) under Suricata suricatta (meerkat). RNAcentral describes it as "lncRNA (ENSSSUG00005020803.1)". The record is from RNAcentral. Lineage: Eukaryota; Metazoa; Chordata; Mammalia; Carnivora; Herpestidae.